GGAGUUCCUGCCAUGUGACAAGAAGGGCAGCCUGGUGAAGAAGCUUUGUUUUUUUCAAGCUGGGAAGAAGUGACUGAUGAAGGAGAUAAGGUUAAACUGUUUUGUUUUGUUUUGUGUAAUCAGGGUAAAAGCAAGAACACAAGGUCACCAGUAAGUGGCUGGCAGAUAUGGAGGAUAUGCCGACCGGAUUUGCCAAAGAAUGAAGUUCUGUGGCAGCCCGGCCUCAAGUAAGUCUCCAACAGAAUUUGCUCACUUCGUGUCUCUGCGUCACAUUUUGGUAAUUCUCAUAAUAUUUCAAAUUUUGUCAUAUGUGUGACGAUGAUCUAGGCCUAGUGAUCCUUGAUGUUGUCUGGGGCCACCACAAACCAUGCCCGAGUGAGAGGAGAACUUAAUAAUUGUGUAUGUCUGGCUUCACUCCAUCUCUCUCCCUCUUCUCACACUUUCCUAUUCCCCAAGACACAACAGUAGUCAAGAUAGGCCGAGGAAUCACCAUUCAAGUGAAAAAAAGAGUUACACAUCUCUCACUUUAAACUGAAAGCUAGACAUGAUUAAGCUUAACUGAGGAGAACAUGCAGAAAGCCAAGACGGGCCUCUUGUGGCGAACAGCUGAGUUGUGAAAGCAAAGGAGAAAUUCUUGAAGGAAAUUUAACGUGCUACUGCAGUGAAUGCAUGAAUGAUAAGAAUGUGAAAGAGCCCGAUUGCUGGUGUGGAGAAAGUCUGAGUGGCCUGGACAGAAGACGAAACCAGCCACAACAUCCCCUUCAGCCAAAGCCUGUGCCAGACCAAGGCCCUCACUCUCUUCAAUGCUGGGAAGGCUGAGGGAGGUGAGGAAGCUGCAGAGGAAGGUCUGAAACUGCGGAGGUUGGUUCGUGAGCUUUCAGGUAAGAAGCCAUCUCAUCACUCAGAGAGCAAGGUGAAGCAGCCAGUGCCGAUGGAGAAGCUGCAGCAAACCAUCCAGAAGAUCUGGCUAGGGUCGCUGACGAAGGUGGUGGCCCUAAACAGCAUAUUUUUGAUGUAGGGGAACCUACCAGGCUCCAACUGGAAGAAGAGGCCAUCUAGGACUUUCACAGCCAGAGAGGAGAAGUCGAUGCCAGCCUUCAAGGCUUCAAAGGAUUGGCUGACUCUCUUGUUAGGGGCUAAGGCAGCUGGUGGCUUGAAGUUGAAGCCAGUGCCCAUUUGCCAGUCCAGAAGUCCCAGGGCCUUUAAGAAUUAUGCUCUGCCUGUGCUCUGUAAAUGGAACUACAAAGCCGGGAUGACAGCAUAUCUGUUGAGAACAUGGUUUACUGAAUAUUUAAAGCUCACUCUUGAGACUUAGUGCUCCAAAAUAAAUGACUCCUUUCAAAAUAUUCCUGCUUAUCGACAAUGCGCCUGGCCACCCAAGAGCUCUGAUGGAGAGGUACAAAUUGAUGAAUGUUGUUUUCACACCUGCUAACCUAACAUCCGUUCUGAAGCCUAUAGAUCAAGAAGUCAUUUCAACUUUUAGGUCAAGAAAGAAAUAGAUUUCAUAAGCCUAGAGCUGCCAGAGACAGUAUUCCUCUGAUGCAUCUGGACAAAGUCAACUGAAAACCUUCUGGAAUGGAUUCACCAUUCUACACAUCCUUCAGAACAUUCCUGAUUCAAGGGAAGAGAUCAAAAUAUCAACAUGAACAGAAGUUUGAAAGAAACCAAUUCCCACCCUCAUGGAUGACAUUGAGGAUCUCAGAACUCUGGUGGAGGAAGGAAACUGCGGAUGUGGGGAAACAGCAAGAGAAGUAGAAUCAGAAGGGGAGCCUGAAGAUGCGGCUGCACUGGGACCAUCUCGGGAUCCAACUUAAAUGAAGAGCUGCUUCUUACAGAGGAGCAAAGACCAUGGUUUCUUGAGAUGAAGAUGCCAGUGAAGACUGAUGAGAUGACAACAGAGGGCUUAGAAUGUGACAUGCCUUAGUUGAUAAGGCAGUGACAGGGUUUGAGAGGAUGAACUCCAAUUUUGAAAGACGUCCUCCUUGGGUAAAAUGCUAUCAAACGGCAUCAGGUGCUACAGAGAACUUGCUCAUGAAAGGAAGUCAACCAAUGCAGCCAAUUUCAUUGUUAUCUUAAGGUACUACAGCUGCAGGCAUCCCGGUCCCCAGCACCCACCACCCUGACCCGUCACCUGCCAUCAAGAAGAAGGCAAGACCCUCCACCAGCAAAAAGAUUAUUCACUCAAAGCUCAGAUCAUGGUUAGCAGCCUUAGCAAUAAAGAAUGUUUAAAUUAAAGUUAUUUGCUGACAAAGCAGAUGGACAUUGUGUGCUAUGAGCCGAAAUGGAGCCCAUGCUUUGAAGUGUGCUAAGUCAUUCUGAUCCUGGCAAAAGUUAACGUAUAGUUUCCCUGGGAGCCCAGAGCGGGGCCCACAAGUAUGAAAGGUGUCGCAGUUUGGAUACACCACAUACCUAGCAAGUAUAUAAAGCAUACACUUUGAUAUUUCAUGUUAUAGAGAUGUGUAUCAGUGUUACAAAUGCUUUAUGUACUAAAAAAAUAAUUCUAUAUUUCCAGAAAAAACGUGUUAAUUGUUCUCUACUCUGAUUCCAGCUGCAUGUUGAUCUGUUUCCUGUAAGAAUGGGGGAGGAAAAGGAAAUGUUACUUCUAAAAAAGAUUUUGAAAAGAAAUAUUUAUUUAUUUAGAGGAAGAGAGAGAGAGUGCUUGAGGAAACAGGGGGAGGGGCAGAAGAAGAGGGAGGGAGGGAGAGAAUCUUCAAGCCUACUAUCCCCUGAGUGUAGAGCCCAACUCAGGGCUGGAUUCCAGGACCCUGAGAUCAUCACCUGAGCUGAAACCAACAUCUGUACGCUUAACUGAGUGAGCCACCAAGUGCCUCUAAAAAAGAAUAUUUUUAAAUUAGCUGCAAUGUAAGGUAUGAAACCAUAAAACUCCUAGGAGAAAAUAUACAGGAUGAAUUCCUUGACACUUGUCUUGACAAUGACUUUUUUUUUGGAUUUGACACCAAAAGCAAGGGCAACAAAAACAAGAACAAACAAGUGGGACUACUUCAAACUAAAAGAUUUCCAUACCAUGAUGGUAAAGGAAAUCAUCACCAAAAAUGGGUUUCCUAUGGAAUAGUAUGAAAAGGUAUGAGAGGGUAAUCUAUUAAAUGGGGGAAAAUAUGUGCAUAUUAUACAUCUGAUACAGAUUUAUAUAAAUAUAAAGAGCUCAUACAACUAAAUAGCAAACAAUCCAAUUUAAAAAAUGGGCAGAGGGGGCGCCUGGGUGGCUCAGUGGGUUAAGCCGCUGCCUUCGGCUCAGGUCAUGAUCUCAGGGUCCUGGGAUCGAGUCCCGCAUCGGGCUCUCUGCUCAGCAGGGAGCCUGCUUCCUCCUCUCUCUCUCUCUCUGCCUGCUUGUGAUCUCUCUCUGUCAAAUAAAUAAAUAAAAUCUUUAAAAAAAAAUGGGCAGAGGAACUAAGCAGACAUAUCUCCAAAGAAGACAUCCAGAUGUCCAACAGGUACAUGAAAAGAUGCUCAGCCUCACUAUUCAUCAGGGAAAUGCAGAUCAAAACCACAAGGAGAUAUCAACUCAUAACUGUUAGAAUGGCUUCUUUCAAAAAAAAUAAGAAAUCCCAAGUGUUGGCAAGAAGGUAAAGAAAAGGGAAUCCCUGUGCACUCAGAGGGAUUGUAAAUUGGUGAAACCAUAUCAUCCAGUAAUUCCACUUCUGGACACAUAUCCAAGGUAAAUGAAAUCAGUCUCUCAAAAAGAUAUCUGCACCACUGUGCUCAUUGCAGUGUUAUUUACAAUAGCCAAGACAUGGAAACAACCUAAGUACCCUCUGAUGGCUAAAUGGAUAAAGCAAAUGUCACACACACACACACACACACACACACACACACACACACACACAGGAAUAUUAUUCAGCCACGAAAAAGAAGGAAAUCCAGCCAUUUGUGACAACAUGGAAGGACCUUGAGGGCACUAUGCUAAUGAAGUAAGUCAGACAGAGAAAGACAAAUAUUCUAUGAUCUCACUUAUGUAGAGAAUCUAAAACAAAAGGGGGGAAACCCCAAAUUCAUAGAUACAAGAAGAGAUUAGUGGUUGCCAGAGGUGGCGGAUGGAGCAGGGGUGAGUGAAAUGCAUAAAGAUGGUCAAAGUUCCAGGUAUAAGAAAUAAAUCUUGGGGUACCUGGGUGGCUCAGUCAGUUGAACCCCAGAUUCUUGGUUUACUCGGUUCAUGAUCUCCACGUCCUGGGAUUGAGCCACUAGUCAGCUCUAUGAUUAGUGCAGAGUCGGCUUCAGGAUUCUCUCUCUCCCUAAUAAAUUUUUUUAAAUCUUAAGAAUUUUUCAAAAAAUUUAAUUUUGGGGGGUAUAAUUGCAGCAUGAUGACUAUACUUUUUAAAAAGGAAAGAACAGACCCCACGUACCAUACAAACACAAUUCCACCAUAUAAUAUUUUCCUAAUUAUAUAAGAAAACACAUUCAUUGUAGAAAAUUUUUAAAUUACUAGAUAUAUCUCCAAAUAAUAAGUAAAACCCACCUACAAUGCUAGAGCCUAUUUUCAACAUGUUAGAGUGUAGAUCACUUGGAGCUCUUCUACUCACCAGGACCCAGUGGAAGGUGGAUUAUGGCUCAGGAUGAUACGGUCGGUAGGAUUCAGGGGCCUGUCUCCGGCGUCUGCCGCCUCCACCCUCAGUAAUGCCGUAGCCUCAAGGCCCCUCUGAGGACUGCAGCAGAAUCGAGGGUGGGAGACGUGGGCUCCCCAGUGUCGCUCUGCCCCUCCUGGAGUGCUGCUGUCCCAGGGGAUUCCUGGAGCCUGCUGUGGCACCCAGCCCUAGCUCCACACCCAUGGCCCUGGUUCAGGUCCAGUUUCAUGUGUUCUCGGGGCUGGAACUGUCCCAGCCCCACUUUUGCAGAUGAGAAAAUAGAAGCAGAGAAAUGAGACUUCCUGUGAGAGGCUGGGACAGUUCCUGCCCUCCUGGGCUGCUUUGCUGAUCACUGUCCUGUUGGGAACCUUGGUUUCCACGCAGCACCACAGAAGGCGAGGUUUGGAGGUAUUAAUACUGACCUCAGACCUGGGUUCUUUCCUUGGCUGGUUGCAAGAACUUGUUCAAGUUAUUUAACCUUUGGGGCCUCAGAUCCCUCCUGGUUUAUUCACUGCUGAGGAUCCAAGUAAAACCACCUGGGUAAAACACCGCAGUGCAAAGCAGGUGUUCAGUAAACAUUUACGAGUGGGUGAGACCAACACUUUCCUAGAAUUAAACCCUGGGGUAUUUUAGGUUGUAGAUCCUUACAAGAAGCACCACAUGACAGAAGAGAAAUGUCUUCUGGUACAAUCUCAUAAGAGACAUGGAAGCAUUAUUCAGGCGACUGUGCCUUUUACUAAAAUUGUAUGUUGAGUGACCCUUCAAAGGCAACUUGACAGCUAAGUGAAGGCAUUCUGGGAGAGCUCUGAGAGCAGCAAGUGUGUGUCUUCUACAUGCCCUAUGACUUCUGACAUGGUUAAGUUCUGUGUGAUAGGUCUCCAACAGAUAAGAGCACUGGUGUUCUCUGUUAUGAUUUACUAUUGAUGUUAUCUGAUAGUUCUCCAGAGAAAGGGCAGACAGACACCUUGAAACCUGGACACUUGGCGACUAUUAUGCUACAUGACAUACAGCAGAGUGGACAAUGCUGACAACAGGGAGGGGGAUGCCAGCCACCUAACCAGCAGUCCGCCGACCAGCAACCCCUUCGAGCCCUCUUUCCUCUUCUCAAGCUACUCAUCGUAUCACUUCUUCAGUCCCAGCCUCUCCCCACGGCUUGGGCACGAUGGGGAAAGUGGACCAGCAACGGAAAGGAAAUACGAAUCCCAUCAGUUAGGUUCUGAUCGCAUCCACACAGUUCAUGGAUGAAGUCCUUGCAGCUGUCCCCAAAACACAGCACAGGUCUCCCCACUGAACCUCACACAUCAGUAGACUCGACAGUCGCUGAGCACAGUGAUCACGUUUCUAGCAAGUAACACAAGUGGCCACAGAAACCUUAGCCACCUUUUCUCUAAUACUUGCAGUAGAACAACAACAACAAAAAAAUCAGUAUUUACAGCUCAGGAAGUUGUUUUAGAUGACACCACCAUGAAGAGAAUCUCUCUAAUCAUUUCUGGCCCCUGGUCACCACUUCAGGAGUUCAGAGAAACUGGAUGUUGUCCAUCUAAAUGCAUGUGUGACCACAGAUCCCUAUGACUGUGGGCUGCGCUAGAAAAAGCCACAGGGCUGGGCAAGGGGACCUGUUUCUCACUGGUCUGAGCUAACGCUCUCCCAGCUCUGUGCUGGCUUCUGGAGUGCUUGCCGCAUGUGUGGGGCUAGAGCUCUCUGCAGGGGUCUCCAAGACCUGCUCCCCCGGCACCCCAUAAACUGUGUCACCCUGGCCUCUCACUAAUGUGCCACAGACCAGAGAAGAGAGAGGCACCAUGAGUCCUCCUGUUCCUGCAGGAGAGCCACAUUCUGCCCAAAGUGAGGACCUGGGGUCCUGGCAGGUGUGAGGGUGGAGGGGACCACACCGCUCUAAGCAGCGGGACUGGCUAAGUGGCUGGCGCUGGCCCUGCCAAUGAGAGCACAGGACUGCCUGAAUGGCAGUUUCCAGUCCUCAGAAACAUUUGAGACGUGAACACAGACACAUACAGGAGUCCAGGACACAGCAUCCCCAAAUCGAGCCUUUUAUUUUUGGACUGUCACCCAAGGUCACUUUGCAUUGUAGGCACAUUGUGAAGAGUCAGGAAAAGCAGGCCAGCAGGAGAAAGAAAGAGGACACCAUUUGGGGCUGACAUGUCCUUACGGGGAGGAGAAGCGGCCACAGAACAGGAUGCUGUUGGUCUUGCUGUGCUGGAUGAAGAAGAGGAAGGGGUGGUCGGCACAGAACCGGGGCACGAUUCUCGCACACCGCAACAACAUGAUGGCCGCGGUGGCUGCUGCGGCCUCCGUGCCUUCCUCGUUCACCUCCACGAAGGCCUUGUGCACCACCCUGGACAGAUACAGGUCUUUCCCGGAAGACAUCCCAGAGAAAUCUGCCUUGGCCGGCUCAAAGGCAUCAGUUAUGCCCAGAGAGCAAAGGACAUUCUUCAUGUCGUAAUCCUCCGCCAGUUUAAAUCUAGGGAGGAAAACUUCCACCUCUUCUUCGUCCAGCAUGUCUGGCCUCGUCCACUCUGCGAAUUUCUCAUAAGUGAGUUCUUUCUCCACCUAGAAGAGAGUUGAAGAUGUUCAGAUCUAGAACCCUGCUGCCCCCAGGGAACCAUGUGCUGGGCUGUGAACGCUCUGGGCAGUGCACGACGAGGUGACAGGAACGGGACGUCACGCGACCUUCAGAGGCAGCCCCCACAGCCCCUCCUGGCAAGCGCCAGGACUGCCCAGUGCUCCUUACCGUCCUCAGAUCCAUGUUUUCAUCUGGAAGCAUGAUGAUCAUGUUCAGCUCUUUGCCCACAUAGGGGAGCACCAGAAUUUUGGUGAAUAUUUCUCCUAUAUAGGUCAUUUGAAAGGUAGAUUUUUUAAACAUCAUCUGUACAGGUUUCUCCUCAUUCUAUAAAGGAAACAGGUAAACAUUAAGUUGAAACCAGACCCAGUGGACACAUGGGUCAAAUGGACAGAAUCAGCCAGUGGGACUUCUAUAAACACUUCCUCGGCUGGCUUCUGGAACACUACCUCGGCCCCCUCUUCUGCCGGCCCAUCUCCAUUGCCUCAGCCUCCAAACACUGGGGUAUUUAGAACUCAGUCCUUACACUGCUUGUCUCUCGGUUAUCUCAACCUUGUGACUUUAAACAGAAAUACCAAACGUGUACUUGUAGCCGGGACUCCUCCCCUGCACUCCAGACAGUUACGUUCCUGUGUGUCGUGCUUACUUGGCAACUGCAUUUGGACAGUGAAGGAACCUCCAAUGUCAUAUGUCACACUGGGCUCCUCACAGGCCCUUCCAGGUCUGCUCCACCCACCAUGUUCCCCAUCUCAGGUGACAGCAAUGCCACUCACCCCACCGUCAAACACUCUGGAGUAUUCCUGACUCCUGUCUUUCACCCCACAAUGGACUCAUUAGCAAGUCGUAUCAGCUCUGCUUUUAAAAUAUUAUCACAAAUGAGAUCAAAUCACUCUUGGGUUGAGCACCUUUCUGUGGUUCUCCUCUACUCCAAGGGAGUAAAAAAGCUGAAGCCCUUAAAGCAAUCUGUGACAUGACAAGAGCUCAUCCCCCACGCUCUCUGCUCCUAUCUCCCUUUGCCUGUCUGCUACAGUCACAGGGGCCCCUGGAUGGUUCCACUGACCCCAGAACCUGGAUGGCAUGCACCCUUGGGUUAUUCUGGUCUUUGCUCAGUAAGGGCUGCACCCUGAAACCGUAUCCCCAGCCCCAGGUUGGAUCCUUCCCCUGUGUCUGUCUCGGAAUUACUACCGGGGUCCCAUACAGUCCUAUUUUCCCAGGCAAGCCCACUCUCUCGCCCCCAGGAAAACAGCAGCUUCAUGAGAGAAAGCGUCACCAGUUUUGCGCGCACUGUGAUGGGACCAGGCACAGUGCCUGGCCCCCAGCCAGCACGGGUUGAACAAAUGGAUUGACAACUACAGGACCAGGCAAAACGAACACAUCCUACCAGGAGAACAGUGCACUCGUCACCAAUGCACCCUGAGCCAGGCAGUAAGAAAGACCCGGGGCAGUGACUGCAUCCUAGCCAGCAGCCCCCCCCAACUUCCAACUUGCGUGCAAGUAUGAGAUCCACAGUGCUGUGAACUGGCCAAGCCCCAGGCUGCAGUCCCCGGGUCUCUUGGCAGCACAUGACUCUAUGUCACAAUCAAGAAACUUUGGUUUCGGCUUUGCUCCUGUGCCUUGCCCAUGCACGCCUGAACUGGCCGGAGCCAUGCCUGCGCCCUCAUUCCUCAGCAUCCCAUUCACCUCCAGGGCCAGCCAUCAGCACCCUUUUUCUCUAACAGGCCAGAUAGUAUAUAUUUUCAACUCUAUGGACCAUACAGUUUCUGUCCCAACUACUCAACUCUAUAGUUGCAGCAUGAAACACAUAAGUAAGUAUGGCUAUGUUGCAUUAAAAUUUAUUAAAAAAAAAAAUGGUAGACUGGCUUUGGCCUCGGGCUGCAGUUUGCUGACCCCUGUCUGAGGCAGUUUCUCCUUCUACCCAUCCAGGACCCAAAGCCCCCAGUCUCACAAUAUGAAAGGAUCUAACCUCAGUAACUGAAUGAUUCGUGAAGUAUACAAUUAUGGAGAGAAGCUUCAUCUUACUUAGAAACAAAGGAAUUUUAAGAAUCUACAGGAACUCAAAAUCUGUUUACUUGCAGGCACAACCCCCAGCCUGACAAGCUGGUGGGCUCAACACCUGCUGUGCUCCUGCCUUUCUCUACUGGAGAGAUGAGGAAGCAAGCUAGACGUCCUCACCUCCCUGCAGCCAGCAGAGGCCGUACGUAAGUAAUUGGGGCUAUGAGACACAGAAGUGAGGUUUCUCACUCUGAAUAAGACGUCAGAGCCCCAAAGGAGAGGACUUUUGCUCUCGCCCUUCAUGCUCUCCCUCCCUUCCCCAUGGAUGGUGGCUGCCAUGACCAUGACCGCAGAUGAGGGUCGCACGCUAGGCAUGGCAGAGCAGGAAGACGGGGAGCUGGUUCCCAGCGGCCCCACUCUCAGCUCGCCCACAGGCCUCUCCUAGGGGAGAUGAACUUUCCACGAAUCAAGUCCAAACAUACAUCUUAUUAAAGAUGAAUUUCAAGGAGAGAAAUCAUUUCCCCAGGUGAAAAUAGGGCAAUUCAUUUCAGAAUAAAGCUCAAAGGAAAAUAUGUUUCUUGAGAAACUGAAAGUUGAGGCUCCUGUCUGCUUAGAAGAUCCAACUCCUGGUCAAUGAUCAGGAAUGGGAUGUAACUAAUCUAUUCGGUCUACUUAGAUGUAUGUGCAAAAAUCUCUACAAUUAAAGAUAAGUAAAAAAGAAAGAAUAUACUAGAUUCAGUGACAGAAAAGGUAAAAGGCCACCAGCAAAUAACAUCUUUGAAGCUGGAGACAGCUCAACUUGCUGUCUAUUCUAUAUACGUGUCCUUUUGUUUUGCUUGUUUUUAAAACAAAAAUUAGUGUUUGUUCUCCUUAUUAUCAAAAGAAGGCUGCAGAUCAGUCAUUUGUUCAGAGUUCACUGAGCACAACUACAUGCCCAGCACCAGUGAGACAGCCUUGGCCCUUCAACCACCGCAAUGCCGCCACGGGUACCAGCAGGGGGCGCUGCAGCUGCUGAGAGGAAGGAUACAGAAAUCCCCACUGGGAGGAUGGCCAGGGAAGGCUUCCAGAUGCUGCUGGAAGACAGAACACCUGGCAACCGUAGCCUAUGAGUAUGCAGCUACCUUUGAUGACACAGCAAAGGAGAAGGACAAGGCACGCUGGUGAGCCCGGCUGCCCAACUGCCUGAGGAUGGACAGGGCACAAGUUAGCUUGUGAGGUGAGCAUUCCUGCAUGUUUUUAAAACCAGUGUGAACACAGGGACUGUCUCCAAGAAUCUUUGUUAUUCCAAAAUAUUCACCU
Molecule: long non-coding RNA, 10446 nt
Organism: Mustela lutreola (European mink)
Lineage: Eukaryota; Metazoa; Chordata; Mammalia; Carnivora; Mustelidae
Exons: 5
Source: RefSeq, a predicted model, not a curated record